UACGGAGGAUGCGAGCGUUAUCCGGAUUUAUUGGGUUUAAAGGGUGCGUAGGCGGAGUCCCAAGUCAGCGGUAAAAAUUCGGGGCUCAACCCCGUCGUGCCGUUGAAACUGGCGCCCUUGAGUGGGCGAGAAGUAUGCGGAAUGCGUGGUGUAGCGGUGAAAUGCAUAGAUAUCACGCAGAACCCCGAUUGCGAAGGCAGCAUACCGGCGCCCGACUGACGCUGAAGCACGAAAGCGUGGGUAUCGAACAGG
Molecule: ribosomal RNA, 252 nt
Filed under: uncultured bacterium
Lineage: Bacteria
Description: partial 16S ribosomal RNA
Rfam family: Bacterial small subunit ribosomal RNA
Source: RNAcentral